UACGAAGGGGGCUAGCGUUGCUCGGAAUUACUGGGCGUAAAGGGCGCGUAGGCGGAUCGUUAAGUCAGAGGUGAAAUCCCGGAGCUCAACUUCGGAAUUGCCUUUGAUACUGGCGAUCUUGAGUGUGAGAGAGAGGUAUGUGGAACUCCGAGUGUAGAGGUGAAAUUCGUAGAUAUUCGGAAGAACACCAGUGGCGAAGGCGACAUACUGGCUCAUUACUGACGCUGAGGCGCGAAAGCAUGGGGAGCAAACAGG
This 255-nucleotide ribosomal RNA is filed under the name uncultured Brevundimonas sp. Its description in RNAcentral is "partial 16S ribosomal RNA". It matches the Rfam family "Bacterial small subunit ribosomal RNA", at positions 524 to 776 of the family's 1533-position model. The record is from RNAcentral. Lineage: Bacteria; Pseudomonadati; Pseudomonadota; Alphaproteobacteria; Caulobacterales; Caulobacteraceae.